GUGCUCACUUCAGCAGCACAUAUACUAAAACUGGAACAAUACAGAGAAGAUUAGCAUGGCCCCUGUGCAAGGAUGACACGCAAAUUCGUGAAGUAUUCCACAUUAAA
RNAcentral lists this small nuclear RNA (107 nucleotides) under Dasypus novemcinctus (nine-banded armadillo). Lineage: Eukaryota; Metazoa; Chordata; Mammalia; Cingulata; Dasypodidae. The record is from RNAcentral.